Long non-coding RNA from Clupea harengus (Atlantic herring), 18085 nucleotides. The record is from Ensembl. Lineage: Eukaryota; Metazoa; Chordata; Actinopteri; Clupeiformes; Clupeidae.
UUGUGUGUGUGUGUGUGUGUGUGUGUGUGUGUGUGUGUGUGUGUGUGUGUGUGUGUGUGUGUGUGUGUGUGUGUGUGUGUGUGUGUGUGUGUGUGUGUGUGUGUGUGUGUGUGUGUGUGUGUGUGCUUGUAGUAAUAAUCAAAAACAUUUCACUUUGUAAAGCUGUUAUGGUCGGCCUUCUGCCUUGAUUUUUCUAUCCUCGAUUUUUCUAUGUGUCUGUGUAUAAGUUUCUGUGUGUGUGUGUGUGUGUGUGUGUCUGUGUAGAUGUUUCUGUGUGUGUUUUUCUGUGUGUGUGUGUGUGUGUGUGUGUGUUUCUGUGUGUGUGUGUUUUAAGAUCAAAUAGUCUAACAAUUCAUCUCAUGGCAAAUCUUGUGUCAGUAGGAAUAUAUUUCUAAGAAAACUAAGUCCAGCUGUAAUUGUUUUUGCACAAGAAGUCAAUAAUGAGGCAUCUAAGUUUAUCCAUCCAUUUCUCACUUGGAGGUGGUAGGCCUACACUGUGAAUCAUUUGUCAUAUGAGAAAACGCUGCAUAAUGGUUUAUCUAGCAUUUCAAGUUUAUAUCCAUGAAUGUUACUCAUGACAUGGUGGGUUGUAAUAUCUAUAUUUUGCCCUCCCUAAAUUGAAUGUUUUAAUAGUAUCUUAGCGUAGCUAUGUCAGUCAUCGGACAGUGUCAAACAUCGGCCAUUCUGUUAAACAAUCAAAAUGCUAAAUGUAAUAAUGGAUUAACAAUCGAUAUGCUCAGUUUAAUAAUGGGUUAACAUGACAACUCGUUUGCCGAUAACACACGCCGUCCGAUAAUUAACACCGUUACGAUACAUGUCAGACAUAUAUAGACAUAUGACAUCUAUCAGCAGGAGGAUAAAAACCAUGGCAACGAGGGGAUUUAAUUAAAUGCGUUGUCCAUGUAUUGUGUGUUAGAUCUUAUCCUCAUACUUUGCCUAAGCCCCAAAAUAUUGUCAUUGCCAAGGAAAUUACAUGGCUGGGUGAAAGCCUGAUAAGGUAUUAAUUGCACAGUGCAUUAGCCUACCAAACACCAUACACCGACAUAUCUGUCUCCAAGAUUUAAUGAAAGACUGUAGGAAUAAAAGUUCUCAUUAAUACUGUAGGGCUCCACCACCAGGAAUGCUGCACAACCCCUUUAUUUGUCGAGACAGUGCUCAGCGUGAAAUUGAUUUAUGCAAACCACAAAAUCAUAUUUCUGUUCGUUAACUCAGGUACUUGCGGAAAGAGAAGGAAAAGGAUGUUAGUGUGAUUAGGGCAUUAUGGGGAGAAAAAUGCAAGGUGGAAGUGAUGUUCGAGACACCCUGUGGAGCAGUAAGAGGAUCUCAAGGCUGGUUGUACAAGAAAACAUGACAUAAUUCUGAAUUAAAGCAACAUUAUGUAACAAUUUUACCCUAAAAUAACAGUUUCAAGCUCAUUUUGGUUUGACUUGUAAUAUAGAGAAUGGCGUCUGUGCUACCCCAUGCCUGGUGUGCCUGGUAUUGCACUAUGUAACUUUGGUGGACAGGGUGCAACACUUCUUGCAAGAACUACAUAAUGCUUUAUGGCACAAUCUCACACAACAACUGGCCCCUUCUGCUAGCUAUAAGAAGAAGCUAGCACAGUAUUCUCUGUAUGGACAUCAUGGCAGAGGCGAUGAAGAAACCGAGGAAGACAUUGUCAGUGAGAUCAGUGAAGAGAAAAGAGAGAGUAACUGAGCAAGAGAAGGAGAGUUAGUCUUAGACAGGCUUUUACUUGUUGGCGAGAGCUAAAAGAGACAAAAGGAUCCAAGUCAGAUGCUGGCCUGGCCUUUCUGUUAGACUAGUCAGUGACAACUAAUUAGCUGUCUUGCUAUGUCUUGAGUUGUGCCUGCAUGAUAUUUUUCAUCAUAAACGUCCCUGAGAAUGCAAUGUAGGCUGUAACCUUAUCGGUGUCAUUCCUGUCUCACAGAGAUUUGUAAUUUUCUAGAUGCCCAAAGUCAUCAGUCCUGUCAGGCUAGCAUCCAAAUAAAUACGUCUCACACCAAAUAAGCCUGUGAAGUUGGCAACCUUGAAAACUCUCUGCUUGUUUGUAAAUGUAAAUUACACAGCCCAAUGUGUAUUAUGCACAAUAUAUGCCUGUAUCGUGUCGCAAACAACAUUUUAUUAGAUUACACAGAUUACAAUUGAGAAUAUGCCUACAACAAAUUAUCAGUACAGUUCACUUACUUUUCCUGAGUUCCUGAAUAAUAAUAUUAAUAUAAGUGAGGUGCACUGGUGUGCAUAGAGCAUAGUGGUCGAGAAAGCAGAAGAACCUGUAAACAAUUCCAGCAUCCUGUUGCCAUAGGUUACAGAGACAUGAUGCCUUUGUUCUCGAGAUGAAAUUGAGUUAGCCUUGUGAAGACAUAGUGGAGCUCCUGUAUGCUUUUGUACUUUAAUUGAAUUUAAUGAAAUAUUUUUAAUUAUCUUUUUAAUCCUAGCUUUGCAGUGACAUGUCCCAGAAAACACGGCAGGUAAUGAACCCGUUAAGAAAUAAUGAACUAUCCCAUUAAUAGGAGCUAUUCCACAUUCAAAUCCACCUUUUGUCCAUUAUCUCAACCUGAGCACUGAGAUGAUCUUUCUAAAAGCACAUGGGCAUUUUUUGCGCUAUGCGUGGGCAAUUUAGCGGUCUAGUUAGGAUGUCAAAAUUAUAAAGACAUUUCAAUCUAAUAGGAGUGCCUUGGUUUGGAGAGCCUUUCUCUCUCUUUUAUUCAUCAUCAUUUCACUCAUUUGAAAUGUCUAUUGGACUCUAGAUAACCUAGGAAGAAGAGAGAGUAUAAUAUUAUGAUUCAACUCUAAUGAAGGCCAUUUCCAUCCUCUCUCUCUUCUUCCUCACUUGCUCGCUCUCUCCCCCACUCUUCUAGAUCAUCUCUUGCUCACUUUCUCUCGAAAGUUCAGUAGUUUAGAAAAUGUACUCUUUGGUAUUCUCCAGAAUAAGAAAUACUGUCAUGGACACAAUAUGGCUACAGCCCCAGCAUAUUAACACAGAUAUCGAGUGAUGUCUGAAUGCUCUUAAUAAGAUAGGAAAGCAUUGUGUACAAGGCCAGUCACUGCAGGGGGAAGGACCUAUACUGGUCUAUCGCAUUUACACUAAAUACUUCUGGAUAAUAUUUUUGGUAUGUGUCAUAGUUUUCUGAUAACACAGAAUGAAUUGGGCUUUUUUUUUAGCAUUUUGGAUGGCGCUUUUAAAGCGUAUCCAUUUUGGCACAUUAGCACUUAGAUGCCACAUAUUGCAUCAUCUAUAAAGUGUGAUUUAAAAUGAGUGUGACUGUUAUCAUUUCUAUACACUCACCUAGUGUGUUUAGUGGUGACUUACCAUUCCUUUUUAAAUGGCAGCAUAUCUCCAUAACAAUCACAAGGCUACAUACACAGUUAUGUUUAUGUAGUCACAUUUAACAUGAGCCUAAUUUGGACUUGCAAGAGAGGAAAAGAAAGUUUCUUGCUCUUCAUUCAGCAGCUCGUCCCUCAUAAAUCUCCUGAUAAUUUAAAUCCAACAAUGGCCCACACAUACUUUCUCUGGACGCCCUUGAAAAUGUCACACAGAAUCCCAGAUGGACUGUUAUAUUUAAUCAGUAUGUUGCAAAAAAACUAUGCCGCAACACUCUAAAAAUAGAUGCAAGUGUCCGGAGUCAGAGAGACAGAUGCUGGAUAGAUUCCACAUAGAUUGCUUCCACACUCAUGUGUGCCAGAUAGGAAGGCAUGCCCUUCUUUGUGUGUUUGACUGUGUGGGAUGACAUGCUUGGCAAGGCCAGCAUUAAGCCGCCAUUUGCCAUGUGAGGUGAACAGUCAGAAGGUCUGACCCCUGGGUCUGUUUAAAGGGUCAAGUCUAGUCAAGUGUGGGUGUGAGACCGAGAAGGGAAGCCCACCUACCUACCUCACAUGCAUCUAGCGUCUUUGACUCCAGAAAACAAAGGCAGGAUGUUCCACACUCAGCAGGUCUUCAUUAACUGAAAAAAAUAUCACUUACAGUUUGGCAUCCGGUGACUAAAACACAACGAUUCUGUGUGUGACACUGUAGUUUACCCUUUCAGAUGUGAAAACAUAGAAUUGAAAAAAAAAAAUGCAUUUUGGAAAAUGUGGCCUGUAGACUGUGCAUGGACCAUAGACUGGCUUUAUUGUCAUUUCAACCAUAUAUGCAGCUAAUGCACUAUACAGUGAAAUGAAACACCGUUCCUCCAGGACCACAGUGCCACAUAGAACAACACAGAUCAGACAGGUCUACAUAAAGCACACGUGCGCAAACACAGACCAGACUGGACUACAUAAACUACACGUGUGCCAACAUGUACAGCACAAGACAGUACACAGUGUACAAAAACAGUACAGUAGGCACAGAAACAUCAAUCAAGGUAUGGAGUGCGACAACUGGUCCAAAAUACACACAUGCACAGUGUAGAGAGUGAUGGUAAUUAGUUUUAUACCAUAUAUUGAAGAUUCAGUCUUAGGUUUGAUCAGUCAGGAUUCAGGUUUAUUCUUGAAGAAUGGCGGCCGACCAUUUGUGAGACAGAAACUUUCAGAUCCAUCCUCCCUCACAGAACUUCACCUCAGUAUAUCUGACUUAUUCCUUGGGGAACAGUCUGUUAAAUACACUGACAUUAAGGGGUGUUACCGUCUAUUCAAAUGGGCCAUGCAUGCAGGGUUCUUUGUCUCGACCUGGGGGGGAGGUGAGACCAAUGUCGCACCUCACUCCCCUGGUCAAAAUCAAGUAUAUUCACCCUGGAACUGUUUACAUGCUAGUUAAGUCCAAAUAAAAGUAACAAUUAGAACUAGGUAUAAUAUCAUUGACUUAUUGACUAUGGCAUAUUCUUAUGACCUAUGCUGGUCCCUUCAAGAGGAUCACAACAAAUAAAUGCCCUCAUCAUGCUUAAAAAGAAAUGUUGUAGCCUGCUUCAAAACUUUAUAAUUUCCAACUGCGUAGAGCUCAUUACCUCUGCAGCAUUGACACUCACAACUAACAGACAGCCCUCUGCGACUUCAAUUAUCCCUUAUCUGUUGGCUGGAUCUCUGUCUCCGUUGUUGGAGCGGCUGAAGCUGUGCUUAAGCCUCUGCGACCUAUAUUUAAUUAGAGGCUCCCCUGUACAGUGACAGCCAGUUGUAAUGAUUUAUUGGGAUGUUUAAUAGGACUGUAAGGGGUUGGUUCAGCCUCCAUAUAAUCGCUAAGGGUAGCUGGAUGUUACAGUGUGGAUUCAUUUUUAUGAUAUAAUGACAUAUUUAUGACAAUGUUGUUUGUGUUAUUCAAUUGUGUUCUUUGGCUUGUUUUGACUUUUAGCAGCAGUCAAUAAUCCUGUCAAACAUAUCCUGUCAAUGUGUGUGCAAUACAGAGCGGUAGUUUCAGUGUGACAGUAUUAGAAACAAAAGCUAGUUCUGCCACAGCCUGUGCUAUUUGUUGUUGCUGUUGUGUGUUUGGUUAUUUAGAUCCUGGCUCAAGCUCAAAUUGUUUACCCUCAGUAACCCUGAAAAGACAUGAAGAGGCGGUCUGAUCCCAGAGCAGUCCGAGAGAGAACAAGGUCUCUCUACACCUCAGAGAUUUACUUUGCUGCUCCCUUCUGCCAGGUCAAGCAAAGCAAAGUACGGCAGAACGGAAUGUUUCUUUUGGCUGUCAGUCUGGUUGGUUUGGCUGACUUUAUUUGUGACUCGAUAACAAACCUUUAAGCUUUUAGCAUCCUGUCAGAAGUCAUAAGGACCACCCAAUGCUGAAUAUGGUUUAUCUGGAUAACUGGAUAUAUUUUACUGUAUUUACUUUCACAUUUUUCCCAUUUCAUUAUAUGCUGCAUUGCUUUGGCAGUCUAUUUUUUUUUUUAUCUUGAAAAGGGCUUAAAACAUGGGACAGGCCUGGUGUUUAAUGUCUGUCAGCACUAUGGAAUAUGACUCUCCUGGUAACUAAUUACGUAAGCAGCAUUACUAUUUUCGUCAGUGACAAAUUUGCAAUGCAUGGCUUUCGUGCGUGGCUCUCUAUGCCCUUCCCUGUCAAGCUGAUAAGUCCUUUUAUGACCCAAGGACGGACGAAUAAAGUAAAAAAAAAAAAACUCAUCCCAUCCUGCUCUGAUUCAGCCAGCCUUUAAUAUGCAACACCAUGUAGAUGCAUGUCCCUUGUGUCUUCACUGUCUUCGGAGACCAGUCCUCAGUCAGACAACAUGGGAGUUAUAAAUCUCUUUCAACAGUCAUGGGAAGAUUUUCCGUGCUGCCAUUUAUAGAUUACUUUAAUGGGCCUCAAUUCUAAUCUGCCAGUGUAAAGAGUGGAGCAGAGGGCAUAAUGACUUCAGACACCCUAACUCGCUUCGCACAUUUGGUGAAUCUUAACUACGGGACGGAGCAGCAGAGAGGAGACAAACAGGGUGGUGAGAGAAAAAAAUCAAUCAUUUAAACAUAGUUUAAUCUAACUGAGUUUCAUCAAAUCCACGUUCCUACCGUUGAGUGUGCAGGUCUUUUUCUUUAGUGAUUUAGUGUUGGAUGGAUCCCUUGAUAGUAUUUUGUCUGCAAUGCUGAUUGUCUGCUUCUCUUGAAUUGUAGGAGGAGGCAAUCAGCACUCUCUUCCUAAUGCCAGUGUCUCAUGCUGAAGCUCAGAUGUAAAAUGACAUCUUGUAACACCCACUUUCAUCUCUUCCAAAUAGUCUUGCAGUGCCUAAACUCUAAUAGAUAGUUGACUUGAUAGCCUUCACUUCAGGACUGUGUCCUCUUGAUUCAUUUCAAUUAAUUCAAAGGGAUGUUUACAGGACAUUAUAGUGAUAUAAUAACUAAUCCAUCAGAGAGAAGACAUAAGCUUUCUAACUCUUUGAAAUUGCAACUCAAGUGUUUCAUAGGAUUACCUAAAGCAAUUAAGGCUUCCCAGACAUGACACCUCUUACAGUCCUCUGUCAUACAGUGAUCCCAGUCUGGUCUUUAAGGGCAGAUAUUCAUUCUAUUAUGCUAUUAGGCCCUGUCAUGCUUCAGUGGACACACAUUCCCUUAUCUUAGAAGACCAGUUGACCGCUUGAACACAUAGCAAAAAGUAAUUUCAGAAUAAACGUGUGCUAAAAGCUGAGCAUUUCACUACACUAGCAUUAAACCAUGCACAACUAACGCAUAUCUCAGAGUCUUUCAUUUGAAAACAAACACCCUUAUUUUCUCUUCAGUCUGUUGGUAUGUACUAUGCAGUAGCCAACUUCCUAAUUAUCCCUCAGACCAUGUCCAAAUCUGCUUGAUAUACUCCCUUUGAAAAUACUUCAAGAUGACUAUUUCUGCACUAUUCAUAGUGGUGUGUGCAUGUGUGCUCAAACAGUAUGUACUCUCCUGUGUAUGGGUACACUCAGGCACCUAGAUUCCUCCCUCCAGUUGUUUGCAGCUCGUUGCGUGGGAGGUGGUAUGGCAGUGGAUCAAAACGGCCAUCUUAUGAAGGCAUUACUCUUGAUACCACUUGACAUCUUCUCUCCAUAAAUCAUGAGCCUAUCACCAUUAUGUUUCCAGAGGGUGGGACGCAUGCCCACGUUGCCUUGAAUAAUGUAAAAAUCUGGAAGUUAAUUCGAUUAGGGAUUUAAAUAGCGGAGCAUCUGUCAUGAUUAUGUGUAUCGGAGGGCAGGGUUUUUUGUGCAGAGUAAAAUCAUCACGGACGAUCCUUUGGGGUGUCACAGACAAACUGAAGUUGAAAUGUUAAUAUUGAGGUCUUCGAGGUGCACGGAGGCCCUACUUAUUUGCAUACUUUAAAUAAUUGCUGACAAUUUUGUUCUUUCUUGUAAGGGAUAACAGCUUCCAAAGUGUCCCAGUAUACACACUUAUUUGUAGUGCUAUGCCACAGGUUUAUAUAAAUCAACUCUUAUUAUUAAGGUGUUUUAAUUUGCUAUUUUUUAAAUUGAAAUAUAUCUAUUUUUAGUUGUUUUAUUUGUUCUCUGUCAUGUUGGCUGUGUUUUGCCUCCUGGAGACAUUGCAAUAAUGUAACGUUAAACAGAGGUUUCUUUGCAAUAUUACACAGAGGUUUCUUUGCAAUAAUGUAACGUUAAACAGAGGUUUCUUUGCAAUAAUUUAAUGUUACACAGAGGUUUCUUUGUGAUACUGUCACGUUACCCAGAGGUUUCUUUGUGACACUGUCACGUUACCCAGAGGUUUCCUUGUGACACUGUCACGUUACCCAGACAUUUCUUUGUGACACUGUCACGUUACCCAGAGGUUUCUUUGUGACACUGUCACGUUCCCCAGAGGUUUCUUUGUGACAAUGUCACGUUACCCAGAGGUUUCUUUGUGACACUGUCACGUUACCCAGAGGUUUCUUUGCUGAAUUUUUCUAUCUGCCUUGCAGCUGGGAUUAGCUCCAAGGUCUUUCACAUCACUUAACUGUUUCAACGUCCUUUCCUCACAUUUCAAGUUCUCUACUGUUAGAUAAGAGAUAAAAUCGAAUUAAAAUGUCCUGGUAACAAACAAGACAACAGGGCAAUGUCAGAAUUCCUGUACCAGCACAACAACUGUGUGAAUGUGUAUGUGUCUCUAUCACAUUUAUAUUGCACCACUCAAGCAAGACUCAGAGAUGCUAUGAACUUGUGAAUAUUUAACACUCUGACUAAUGUGUGUAUCAGAGACACUGCAUCACAGCUAAUGGUAUUAUCCUUCCUUGCCUGCGGGGAACAUAUUUUAGUGUAGAUGAAAGAUGCACAUCUCUGGCUGAAGCUGCAUCUGUAAGGGGCCCCAUAAUGAUGAGACAGUUCCACUCUGCCACGUCUGCCACAGCAGUCAUACUUGAAAUGCCAGGUAGGUCUGUAAAUUGCCGAUUGACUCUUCAUUGAUCUAUCAAGGUCAAACAAACAAACAAACAAACAAAUAAAUAAACAGAUAGAUAGAUAGAUAGAUAGACAGACAGACAGACAGACAGACAGACAGACAGACAGACAGAAAGACAGAAAGACAGAAAGACAGACAGACAGAUAGAUAGACAGAUACAUAGAUAGAUAGACAGGCAGACAGAUAGAUACAUAAAUAGACAGACAGACAGACAGACAGACAGAUAUAUAUAUAGAUAGAUAGAUAGAUAGAUAGAUAGAUAGAUAGAUAGAUCAGUGAUUGCUAAAUGUCAGAGUGAGAGUGAAGUAAUGGCGGUUCCCUGUAGCCAUUCUGUUGGAAAUGAGAAUGCCCCAGACAACCAGAAGCUCACCUCUGCGACCCUUGAGAAUGGUCCAUAAUUCACCCCGGUGAUCCCAGCCAUACCUUCGCCAUUUACUGCCCAUUAAGCUGUCCAUCUAAUGCAUACGUUUAACCCCCACACUGACCUUUUUACCGUUGUUUGCAGAUGUGACAUUUGGCCAUUAUGGCAUCCACAGGGACUGCAAGGACUGUAGGGACUUCACUGCUUUUAACUGGGUCUAAUUUUAAAUCUAUGGGUGAUCAUGAUGAUCACUGGUGUUGGUCCUACAUUAUGGAAUAGUCUCCCAUUAGAUAUUAGAUCUGCUGUCUGUAUCAAGAUUGUUAAAGCUGGACUAAAAACCUGCUUUUACACACAUUCCCGGAUUUUAAGUUAACUUAUCUAUUCUAAUCUAUCUAGUCUAUUCUCCAUUUUAUCUAAUUCUAACGUGUUUUUUCUUCUGUUUUAUUGUUUUUUACCUCUUUUACUCAUCACUUUUCAAAUUCCGUUCUUUUGUUACAAUAGUUUUUUUUCUUAUUUUGUUUUUUUAUUUGUACAGUUAUUUCCUGUUAUUUCUUUAAAUUCUUGGCUACAUUUGUUAUCAAUCUAUUUGCUUUGGCUAUAAAUCACUUUGGUCCAAUUCCUGUUGACUUGAUUUGACUUGCAGAGAUUGGAUAUUCUCACUCCGCUAAUGAGUGGCAGGGAAGGUGACUACAGUCAGGGGUUACAAUUGCCCUGUCAGUCUAUGAGAGGACACCUGGUAAUAAGACCUCCAUGCAUUUAAUGGGAAGGAUGUUUUGCUGAGAAUAACAUACAUGUUGUUUUCUUGUGUCUCUGUUGUGUGUAAUACCAGCUAUUUUUCUGUGUGUGUUAUUUAUCUAUUCUUGUUUGAGGACCAAAACAAAAACACAGGUAGUCAUGCAAAGUUUCUGAUUGCACUCUUUUUUUUUAGGGAAUUAGAAGCCUGAGUUUCCCUGUGAUCUUGUGGUGAUACCUGUGCCAAGUAUGGUGCCAAUUGAAAUUCAAAUAGAAGAUGUUACUACGAUUAUAACAAUACAACGUUUCUGUUGCUUAUCAAGGUCUGCAUUUCAAAGGUGCUAUACGUAAUAAUUUUAAGUUAAGUUUAGUUUAAAACAUUACAAAAAUUACUACAAAUGGCAACAUAAUGUGAAAGAAUAACCGUUUUGUCAUGUCAAAAAUGCCUAUGAAUUGUUUUGCCCAGAUAGCUGCUAAAGUUAGCAUUCUAACCUGCUAGGGCCAGGUUUCCCAAUAAUGAUAAUUCUUAGUGGUUACAAGUGUUCUUUACAGGCGAUUCUACAAACAUUUGUUACGUUUUUACACGCAUUUCCCAAACAAGCACGUAACACGAAAGUGCAUGCCCUGCUCUUAAGUAGCACUUAACGGACGCUGUCCAUGUAAACAGUGCCAAAACAUCACCUAAUCUGGUGAUAUCUGGUGAUGUUAAAGUUGUCUUUUCAACUGCAUAGAAUCUACAUGCUAACUGACUUAAAAGCAGAUAAACUUUAACUAUCUGUAUAACUAACGUCAGAAUAAACAUUCUCUGAGUAUGCAUAUGUGCACACAUACACACACCACAAAUAAUGCUCAUGAUUAAAACAAUUUUUAACGUUACACUGGGCCUCAUUUAUAAAACGUACUUACGCACAGAUUUGAUCUGAGAGUGUUCGUGCGAUCAAAUCCACGUCUAAGUACAGAUUUAUAAAAACCGUCUUAGACGUAGAAAAGGACGUAUCUCUACGUCUGGUUCUAGUUCGUGUAAGUACAUUUCCUUGUGGCAAUACUGGAGUACUGCAGGAAUUCGGAACUCUCCGAGCGCCGACACGCAGUUUCAUCAUCAUCAUCGUCACCACCACCGUCACCAUAGGGCUAAUGGUAAAAGGCCAAAUGAAUGUUUCGCUCAAUAAAAUCAAUUAAACAAUUUGAAUAAUUCAUACAUGAAUGAAAUUCACGUCUAAUAGGUAUUCAUUUUAAUUCCACACGUGUAAAACAUUUCGCUCAAUUUAUAGCCUAUAAAAAGCCUGAUAGUGACAGUUUUCAGUAGGAGAUAUGGCUGCUUUGGCGUUGUUAGAGGAUAUUACCCCUCUGUGUCCGAAAUGUAUUACAUGUCCAUACAGUGCCCAGGAACAGCGAAAUGUGAAAGAGGAUUUUCUGCGUAAAACAGGGUUCCCAAUGGCUUCUCACCCCGAUUGCGCACACUCAGACAGCCUAGGAAGCCCACUUCAAUACAGCACAUGCCCGUGUGCGGUCUGUAGUGGAGCGCAGCAUAGGCAUGCUGAAGGGAAGGUGGCGAUGUUUGGAUGCAUCGGGAGGGAGACUGCUAUAUGCCCCCGAAAAGGUUUGCCAGAUCAUCCUAGCCUGUUGUGUGCUACACAACAUCUGUCUAAGCCAUGGCAUAGAGGAGAAGACGAAAUGCGCAUGGACCAAGAUGACCACCCUCCCAUCCCAGCUGACUGGAACACGCACAUCACUGCGCUGAGAAGACGGGAGCUGAUUCACUAACUAUACCAACAGUAUAAGAAUAAAUGCACACAUGUUCAUUUUCUUAAGAAUGUUUUAUUUAGGCACGUUUGUUCAAAGAACCCUCAAUAGCGGACAGAGUUCAGCAACAACCUCGCUAACAGACUCAUUCAAGUCCCUUUGUGAAUGAGAAGAGGAAGCUGGUGAUGGCCAACGAGGCCCCGAUGCUGGUGCAGCAGGUGCUGCUGCCGCAGAUGCGGCUUCUGGUGCUGCUCGUUCCGCAGGUGCGGCCGCUGGUGCUUCGGAGACGUGUCUUCUACCAUGCCACAUACUUUGCUUUUGCCAUUAGCCUACGCCACCUGACAGGCUUUCGAACAAUGUUUUGGCCCGCAUCUGCUCUUCCAUCAGCAGAACGUCGAUUUAAACCUCACUAUAAUUCUUCUUUUUACAUGUUUCUUUCUUGCUUGCCAUUGUCACAGAGAGUUUGUGCAUUGAGGAUGCGCUCCGUUUGUGCAUUGAUAAUAUCCUAAUUAGAUUAAGUAGGGGCGUUUUGAGAGCGGAGAUUCAGCUGCGCACAAUUCCACGAUCAUUUGUGAUUUAUAAAUGCAGGAAUGGCGUACACGUGUUUUUUGGGCGUACGUUCGUUUUCUGUGAAUAACACUUACGACCAUUUCAGAAAACGUCUGAGAUCAAAUGUAGGAUGGUUUCUACGCAACAUUUUAUAAAUGAGGCCCGAUGUGUGAGAAGGUGAAAUCCCUCCCCCUUCUCACUGUGGCCCUAAGGGGGAGAAGGACUGGACUCCCCUACCUGAAUGGUUGGGUCCGGGUUCCCCCUCCUCUGUAGUGUCCUCUGUGGAGUCCAAUUGACUCCAAUUGGACCAAUUUAGCCCUCGGGCGGCCUUAUUUAAGGUGCACCUCAUUGUUGCAUGAGGGGAAGACAGACUGAACAUGCUGGAAGAAAGCUGGGACAAGUACAUAGAUUAAACCUGUGUGAUCUGUGACCACAGAGUUGCACCUUGUUUGUUUUUGGCCUUUAGUGUUGUUCAGUUUGUAUAUGUUUUGGGGUUUCGAAUUAUCCUGUUGUAAAUAAAUAGCUAUUUUUUAAGAAAGCCACCUGCAACCCCAUUCCAACCAGCCUACAUCCCACAUUGUGGGGUGGUCGACUCGAGCCAUCUUCACACACUGUAUUCAGAUUUGUUUAUUGAAUGAUGUGUCAACAUGUUAGGCCUACUCAAGACAUCCAACAUAAACCUGCUCUUUGCCACUUGCAGGUGUCCCAUAGUGUGUGGCAUGCUGCCCGAGGAAGAGCACUUUUGGGUAUCCUUGAAGAAAGAAUUUAAGGAUGAGGACGAGGAAGAUAUACAUAACAAAUAAAGGCCUAAGGCUGAUUUUGACACAGAACAUGUACAUUAUGUUACUCAACAAACUUUUUUUUAAAUGUAAUAGUUUCUAAUUCGUAUUCAUUGUUAUGUUCUUUUUUUCUGUCUGAUGGAACUUGGUUUCCCCUAGUCUCUUCCACUUUCUGCACCAACUUCUGAGCUAGGCUUAGGCCCUACUGAAUAUAGUCUACAAUAUGCCCCCAGCAGAAAAAAGACCAAAGGAAGGGAACAUACCGAACGUUCCCGGGACAAUUCUGGCAUUCAUGAAAGUUUUCUCAUCUGUGAUUUGUUUGCUUUGAACAGAAUUUAAGAACGCUAAAUAACAGUCGUAAAUCGGCCAGUUUGGAGUGCGCCCAUGUUGUUAACGGCUGAAUUUGUGAGAAAUCAUUGGUGAUUGCGUUCACAUCAAGUUCUACAGACAUCCUCAGAUUUAAAUGAUUAUAAUAAUAAUAAAUAAGAGAAUAUUUGUAUCAUAAACAAUUACGUUUCACAUUUAUAGUCAUGUUUCUAGGAGGCAUCGUGAUGUCUUAACAAAAAUAAAAGCACUACACGAACACUGCAAAUGGCAUUGAAAAAAUAAAUACCGUAAAUCCUCAAAUUGUGGCCGGGGCUUUUAUUUACUUAGGCUGCACAGCGCACUGGCCUGUAUUUAGGGCAGGCUUGUAUUAGGGGCAGGCCUUUAUUUCUUACUUAUUAUACGGCUCUUCAGAAUGUUCCCCAACAUUAGCAGGUCUGUAAUUUCUUGAUAUUCACCACUGCGAAAAGUUAAUGACCGCUAUCAUUGGCAACAGGUUUUGUGCUUCUAAUUCACAUCUUUCAUAUCAUUCCACAAGAAGUCCGGUCAUUUAACGUAGCGGAAAGUCAUUGUAACUUGAAGUCAGCAAGUAAUGGGUUGCUACGCAACACCUGGAACGUUAAAGUUCUAUUAGCCUGAAGACAUUUUUUUUCUUAGCGGAAAUCACGAAACGGCAACAAAAUCAUGGAGGAAUGUCUUCUAUCGUUUAGGCAAGUAACUGUAUAAAAACAAAUUCGCCUUGUAGGCUGAAACAUUUCUUUUUUUAUUGCAAACAGCCAUGAAAUUAUCCAACAACAUUAAACAUGAGGAGAACAUGUAUUUAUGAAAUGCAUUCAAUUAAAUUGUGAUAUCUGCUUUGUGCUGAUGGACUGAUGCUGGUAGGCUACAGUAAAAUAGGCUACCGGUACCUUUUUUUACCCCCGGCUUGUAUUCGGGGCCCUGUCUUUAUUUGUCCGUAUCGACCACGCCCCCGGCUUCUAUCUGAAGCCCGGCCUCUAAUUGAAUCCCGGUCUUUAUUUGAGGAUUUACGGUAAGCACUAAACUCAAUCGCGUGGAUAUAGCCAUGGUGGAAUAGAAUGGACACAUCUACAUUCUGCAACAGUACCUCCACCUCUGCACCGGUGAAGUAAGGAUACAUGUUGAAAGUUGCUCCUGUAAAGUUCCAGCAAAACCCACGCUGACCGUGUGAACUUUGGACAUUAUUUGUCUGUGAGUAGAUAUUUUGUGUUGGGACAUUAAUGCCGUUUAGAGAAUUUGUGUUUGUAAAUGUUAUAAGAGAAUUCAGUAUUUAGCAGCCAAGUUAUGCUAGCUCUUGUGGUAUCGUGCUACCUUUAUGCCACAUCAUUUGACGUGAAAUGUAUGUAUCUCUUUAUUUCUGUCUGUUCCAGACAGUUUUACUAAAUCAAACGUCCUGUAUGAAUAAUUGCAUGCUGAUAACUUCAGUAAACUCAAAAAAAACAAGACUUGUGGAUUCACUUGAAAUUCAUCUUUAUUCUGCAAAGACAAGUGUUAGCUAGCUGUCAGUCCUGCAAGGUAGCAAACGCAGUACGAAGACAGCAUAGAGAGACAGAGGGAGAUAGGGCCAGACAGCAAUUUUUUCAUGUCCCCCCCAAGAUUUACUCUCUGAAAUGUUACCAUGUAUUGUCCCCCCCUACAAAGAAAUGGGAUCUCCGCCCCUGCCCACACCGUCAGGAAUGAUGUUUUUAAUAGCCAAAAUCCCAUCUCAGAGGCUAGAAUAAUGACGUGAAGUGUUUGUUAAUUAAUGGAGAAAUGGAAUCCUUGAACUGCAGAGCCCCCAUCCAUUUUUAAAGUGCUGGCUUGAAUUUACGAAUGGAUCCAAGUUCAUUACUAUCCUGUAGUUAGUAUCAACAAGUAGCUCAAUAGCAAGCCCAUCAGACAAACAUGGAUGGUUAGACUAGUCUAGAUCAGCUAGCUCAAAAGCUCUAAUUCUUAAAUGAAGACCUACAGGGGUCUGCUUGCCUCGACUAAGUCGAUGGAUUGAUGUUGAUGGACACACUAAUGGCCACACCACCUUGGUCAAACAUUUUUCACUUCUGUGAAGAGAGAGGAGGUAGGGGUGUACACACGUAGUAACACACCGUCCCCAAUCUGUUUCAGACGGGGAAUGUGAAAUCAUUUAGCUCACUAGCUGAGUCACACCACCUUGGUCAAACAUUUUUCACACCGUCCCCAAUCUGUUUCAGACGGGGAAUGUGAAAUCAUUUAGCUCACUAGCUGAGUCACACCACCUUGGUCAAACAUUUUUCACACCGUCCCCAAUCUGUUUCAGACGGGGAAUGUGAAAUCAUUUAGCUCACUAACUGAGUGCAGAACAUAAAGGUCAGGUCUGACGUCUUAGUCACGGGCCUCAGCAGUAAUGGACCUCUAAAGAGAGCCCAUCUUCAGUGAUGACAUCAUUAGAUCAUUUAACAAGGAUGUUGCUUUCUCCGGUUGAGGUAGAAAUCAUGCUGGAAUGCUCAUCACAUCCAGUUCUAAUGUGUUUCUCCCUCAAAGGAGACGGUGUUUGACCCGUUCAUUUCUUACGAUUACUUGUGUCAUCGUGUGCAGGAAGUGGAAGAGUGAGGUACUCAGAUGCCUGCAGCACACGGUUUGGCAAAACCACAGUUGUGUGCUGGCAAGUGGAGUUCUCUGAUGAUCCAGCUCUUUGCUUUUAAUGAGCACCAAAGAUCAAACAGUGGUGUGUUUGGUUUGAUUGGGUUGACCCAGAUGAAAUAACUUGCAUGCCUCUGAAGCCAACUGAGCAUGUAGCGUAAGAGAGGGACAUAAGUGAAAUGUGAUUUUGUUUGCUUGACAUAUAAAAAGGGUUAUGUUAGUUUACUUACCACAAUUCCGGCUGUACAUAUAUCCAGGACAGGUAGAUUUUUUUCGAUAACAAUGCUAUGAGGAUAAAAUGACAAUGAAAUAGACGUACAUUUUAUUUGGUGAUUUCAAGAUAGUAAGUUGUUAUUUCUAGAUAGUAUCUCAAGUAAGUCGAUAUAUUAUCUUGUUUUCAAGAUUUUAAGUUUAAGUUUAAUAGUAUUUCAAAAGUCAUUAUUUCAAGAUAGUAUCUUGUUAUUUCAAGAUAUUAUUAUCUUACUACUCGGUAAGACGUUGUAAGAUGCAGUAGCUUAUCAGGUUAAAUGGGCCCAUAUCUCUCAAAGUAAAAGAUUAAAGUAAAGCACAUAUUUUAACAUUGUGAGAAAAAAUGAAUGCCUUAAAAAAUAAAUAUUAAACCCUUGAAGUGACCUUGAUCAAUAAAUAGCCUUUCAUGAUAUCCUCUGGAUGAAGAAGCCUAUUUAAUGUUUUUUAUUUUUAUUUGAGGUAUCAUUGCAAUGACCUGGUCUAAAUUAGUGAUUUCUAGUGUCAUGCAAGUAGUCAAUAAAAUGUUAAAGUGGACAUUACACACUAAAUGUAGUUAGCAUUAUUUACAAGAUGGGUUCCCACUGUAAAAAUCCUAAUAGGUUUAACACUGUCAGUGAAACUGGAUUAAAAAUAAUAACUAAUAAGUAAUUGAAGUUACAAUUUGCAAACAAGUCUAGCACCAUCUUUGAAACUCUGACUUAGUAAAUAUUAUCUUGAAAUAAGAACUUAUUAUUUUGAAAUAAUGAGAUACUAUCUUGAAAUAAUGACAUGACAAUAUGUUUAAACAAUGAGAUAUUAUCUUGGAAUUAUGACAACAUAUUGUAAAAACGAGACACCACCGUGAAAUAAUGAUUUAAUAUCUUGAAAUAACAAGAUACUAUCUAGAAAUAAUGACUUAAUAUCUUGAUAUCCUGAAAAGGAUCUAUUAGUUAUUUAGGUUUUCAAUUUUCUUCACAUAAAUACACAUGUACUGUAUAUUGACAGUAAUGGUAACAUGACAUCUGCCACAGCAUGUUUUUAUGUAGUAACAUCAAUCUGAUAAUGUAGGCUACCAAUUCAUUUCACUGUAUGCAAUUCACAGUAGCAGUAAAUUAUCUUUUUCAUGUGUCUUUGUUGAGGUCUUACUGCAAGACCUUGCUCAGGGAGAGACAUUAUUGGCAAGCUUCAGCCCUACUUCUUGGAAUGACUGUAGCAAAAAGAAGGGCAGUGGUGUUUGUCAAGGGGCUGUUUGCUCAAUAUGCCUGAAAUCACUGGGCAGCCAGGGAGCAUGUAAUCUUUCAACUCCCACCCCCACCCUGAAACCCCCGUCCGCUUUAUACGACUGGAUGUCUAGCGAGACAUUUUGAUUGCAACACUGUGCUCAAGUUGCCCCAAAUCAAAUGCAGUACAGACAUGUUCACGAUGGCCGCCGCCUGUUGUGCAGAAUACCAAUGACCAUCUUCCAUUAGGAGGCAGAUUAACAGAGAAUGUCAAUUGAAAAAAACCCUCCAGUCUCUCCUUUUCAAACCUCCAUUAGUUGAUUAAUUUUUACCAUUUACAGAAGCCAUCUUGUUCCAAACAUGUUUUAAUACUUAGCUGUCAAUCAUCCAAACAAUGUACAUCUGUCAAUGUCAGUUAAAGAAAUUUGCACUGAGGGAAGCACUUUGUCUCUCCUCUGGGCUCUCUUCCCUGCAGACAUCAAUAUAAAUCUACGUCCUCCACAGACUGACAACCUCCCAUUACGAGCAUGCAUGGGGAAAAAGACAAAUUGCGGCUCUCUCACCCUGAGGUUGGCGAGAGUUCAUCCAGACUGGGCCACGGAGGAGGCCGAGUGCUUUUGUUGGCCUGUCACAACUCCGCAUGUCAGCUGGGCACGUCAGUGGGUGUUAAACACGGCCCCGCAUCGGGGGCCCUGCGUUUAACUCGGCACGGGCGCGGAAUCGAAUGCUCGCUCAAGUGCAUCCCUUUGAAUCCAAUCUGUAGUGUCCUCCUGGGCUGGAAUGUUCAUGAGUGUGUG